Molecule: long non-coding RNA, 1647 nt
Filed under: Oncorhynchus kisutch (coho salmon)
Lineage: Eukaryota; Metazoa; Chordata; Actinopteri; Salmoniformes; Salmonidae
Description: lncRNA (ENSOKIG00005022251.1)
Source: RNAcentral
UGUGAAUGAAUUGGAUAUGAAUAUCCUGAGUAUGGACCCUCAACGCCAAAGGAUAGUCUACACGUCCUUCAUGCGCAGGUUUCUCGAGAGAAAUGAUACAGCAGGUAGGCUAUUUAUUUAAUUAUGAAUGGAUAUUGUCACUCAAUAUAUUGGAAUUGUUGACAUUUUGAUGAAUGUGGUAAUCUGUAGGAUGUGAUUGAGAGUUCUGUUUGUGUUCUGAAAAAGGAUGCCUCGCCCAUGAGAACAGCAGUGAGCAGUGGCUGAUGCGGAACUUUGGAUCCUUCUCUACCUUGGUUGACUAUGAAGACUUCUUUGCACUGAACGUUAAUUUCAGUGGUCUAUCAGUCCUGGCACUGCUGAGCCCGGAACAGAAGGCAGAGUUGGUUCUUCACCCCGGAAAUGGAGACCUGGACAAUGGCACUAUCAGCCUGGUCUUCCAGAGUCUGCUUGGGCCUCUAAUAAACAAUGCUCACCUGAAUCAGUCGAUGUACAAUGCAACAAUGAUGUCCAACAUGGCUGCUGGCAAUGCCACAGGUCCACAUGAACUUGACAGAGUGCGUUAUGUGUUUUAAUUUUUAUAAUUUUUUUUACUUGGAUCCCCAUUAGCUUUAGCAGAAGCAUCAGCUACCCUCCCUGGGGUCCACAAAAAAACACAAAACAAGUAACAAUACACUGAUAGACAAGGACAGUCACACAAAUUUCAAAUACAAGGAUAUAGAAACAAUACAACAAAAAAAUAUAUAUAUAUUUAAUAUGUGUGUUAGUGAGUCUGUGUGCAUGCGUGUGUUUAUCGGUCUCUUUUCUGGGGUGGCAGGUAGCCUAGCGGUUAAGUGGGACUAAUUAAACAAUCUGUCGAUGUGCCUUUGAGCAAGGCACUUAACCCUAAUUGCUCUGGAUAAGAGCGUCUGCUAAAUGUUAAUGUCAAACAAGGCUAUUUCUUUUGCUGUCAUCAACUCCAUGUACAGUAUGAGCCAACUAAUGAUUACAAAUCUGUGGUUGCAGACUCUAAAUGACUUCCUGUCAUUCCUGAGGCCCUUGGGUAGUUUCAUCAAGACUUUGGUGGGCAGCAUUCAAGUGAGGAAUGUGAGCUCCGAGAGACAGCAUGUUCUGGCCCAGGCAGUAGUGAACUGGAUCCUGGCAGAGCUGGCUGGACACAUCUCCCCCAACUUCACACUGACAAAUGAGACCAUCCCCAGCCAGACUCCCUCUCUCAGCAACUUCAACAUCACCAGCCUUAAGGACUGGUUCCAGCAUGUGGUCCUCCCUGCCCUGAACCGCUUCCAGCUCAACAACCAGACUCAGAUCCCACACGACCUUACUGCUGUCUUCAACCAAGUCUUCUCAUUAAAUCCUCCAAUGGGUUCUAACUCUUCCAUGUAUUCAAUGGUUGGUCCCAUGGAUGUCUGUCACAUUGGCAACAAUGAUGAUAUGUGCUCGGUGUCCCAUGCAGCAGAAAACCUGGCUGUGGUCCUGAGAUGUGUGCCCCAUUCUAACUUGAGCCUCACUGGAGAAAAUCUGAAACUAUUGGUCACAGAGCUAUCCAAGAUACUGACAGGACCACACACAAUGAUGGUAAGAAUACUUUAUUUUCAAUCAUCAGAGAUUCAAUUAAAGUCAAGACAAAUGUCAUGUUACUGUGACAUUUGA